Microcebus murinus (gray mouse lemur) is the source of this 7657-nucleotide non-coding RNA. The record is from RefSeq and is a predicted model, not a curated record. NCBI's taxonomy places the organism in Eukaryota, Metazoa, Chordata, Mammalia, Primates, Cheirogaleidae.
CGGGACUUCAGUGAAGCCGGGUGAAUGGGCCGGAGCGCCAGCCCGCAGCGGGAGCGCAGCGCUGGGCGUGGAGGCGGCGCUUCCCCACCAAAUUGUCUCGACUUCUUGAAUUGCCAGUUUUCAGCCUCCUCAUGCCUCCGUCUCCUUUAGACGACAGGGUAGUAGUGGCACUAUCUAGGCCUGUCCGACCUCAGGAUCUCAACCUUUGUUUAGACUCUAGCUACCUUGGCCCUACCACCCCAGGCAGUAACAGCCACCCUCCUGUCAUCGCCACCACCGUCGUGUCCCUCAAGGCUGCGAAUCUGACGUGUAUGCCCUCAUCCAGCGGCUCUGCCCGCUCCCUGAAUUGUGGAUGCAGCAGUGCCAGCUGCUGCACUGUGGCAACAUACGACAAGGACAGUCAGGCCCAAGCCCAACCCAGCACCACCGGCACCACCAGUGGAACCUCCACCUCCUGCCCUGCUAGCCAGAUGGUCAACAGUAAUGAGAAUGCGGGUUCUUUAAGUCCACCAGGCGGGGUGGGCAGCCCUGUGGCAGGGACCCCCAAGCAGCUAGCCAGCAUCAAAAUAAUCUACCCCAGUGACUUGGCAAAGAAGAUGACCAAAUGCAGCAAGAGUCACCUGCCAAGCCAGGGCCCUGUCAUCAUUGACUGCAGGCCCUUCAUGGAGUACAACAAGAGUCACAUCCAAGGAGCUGUCCACAUUAACUGUGCCGAUAAGAUCAGCCGCCGGAGACUGCAGCAGGGCAAGAUCACUGUCCUAGACUUGAUUUCCUGUAGGGAGGGCAAGGACUCCUUCAAGAGGAUCUUUUCCAAAGAAAUUAUAGUUUAUGAUGAGAAUACCAAUGAGCCGAGCCGAGUGACGCCCUCUCAGCCACUUCACGUAGUCCUCGAGUCCCUGAAGAGAGAAGGCAAAGAACCUCUGGUGUUGAAAGGUGGACUCAGCGGUUUCAAGCAGAGCCACGAGAACCUCUGCGACAACUCCCUGCAGCUCCGCGAGUGCCGGGACGCGGGGCCCGGCGCCCACGCGGCCCCCCGCGCGCCGCCCGCGCCCGCCUCGCCCGACGUGGAGGGCGCCGAGCUCACGCCCGUGCUGCCCUUCCUGUUCCUCGGCAACGAGCAGGACGCCCAGGACCUGGGCGCGCUGCAGCGGCUGAACGUGGGCUACGUGCUCAACGUCACGGCGCACCUGCCGCUCUACCACUACGACAAGGGCCUGCUCAGCUACAAGCGCCUGCCCGCCUCCGACAGCAGCCGGCAGGACCUGCGCCAGUACUUCGAGGAGGCCUUCGAGUUCAUCGGGGUGCCGCUGCUGCCAAUCCCAGGACCACACUUCGAGCAGCAGAAGCCAGAGGACGCUGCGCAGACGUGACCACCACGAAGACUAGUGGCCACGGGGACUCAGCUCGGCUCUCCCUGGGACCUAUUGUGGGCUCUCCACCCCACUCCGAUUUCUAGAAAAUAGAGGAUAAAAUGUAAAAUGGAGCUAAUAAUACCUGUUAUUUCUCAACAUCCAUAGAAGUUUCAUGAGAAAAUAACUUAAUGGCUGCAGAGUAUUUUGAAAUCUGGAGUGCUGUGAGCUUAUGACUUAAGAGUGCCUCUCCUCAAGGACAGAAGAGUGCUUCCUAAUGACCCAGAGUCCGCACAACGGCUUGGAGUCAGAGGGUGUUGUAGACGAGGAAACUGAAGCCCGAAAAGGAGCUGUGACUCAUGCAAGGAGCAUAGCCAGGACAGCCCGCUCACUCCCAGACCUUUGUUAUAUCAUCCGACAAGUUCUGUGCUGUCUGGACUGCAGCAGAGCACCAUACUGAGGGUGAGUGAAAGGUGGCUAGUAUACUGCAGGCUUUGGUAAGAUGCAUGCACUCCAGGGGUGGGAAAUAAAUGCUAUAAUAAUUAAUGAGCCUUGCCACCUCAGCAAAAUAUCCAGGGUCUACUGGCCAGGGCAUGCUGAUCAUCCUGUGCAAAGUAAAAGAUAAAUUGUUGCAUCUUAAAUCCCCUUUUACAAUGAAUGAUGCACAAGUCUUGGUAGGCCUUUUUAGCUUCUGAAGACAACACAUUAUACAUGUAGGAAUAUUGCUAUGACCCAAAUACUGGGUGACACAAUAGGCUGUCAGCUCUGAGUGGGUUCCAUGGUAAUAAAAAGGGCUUGGCAAAGGGCUUAGACUGUGGUACAAGCAACUCUGCCACUUGGGCCAUAUAAUCUGUCAGGCCCUGUGGUGCUGGAGAUAUCAGUGGUAGAAAAGAAUGCAAUGUGGGCUUUAUAGCAAGUGCUAGCACGAGAACAGCAAUAGAAGCACUUGAAGUUCUUGAGAUGGUCUGCACCACCUCUAUCAGAGAAUCACACAGCAUCGGAAAACAGCUCUUGGGUUCUUGUGCUGUUGGGCUCUUAUAGAUAGGAAACACUUGGCUGUCAGACACCAAGUGACUGUAAGUCUGCAAAAACUGGUUCUUCUUGGAGUUACUAAGUUAAGGAAUUGGGAAGAUGAUGGCAGCAGUCCAUCAUAAGAUGGAAAUGGUAUAUGAAGGCCUAACAUGACCAGGACUGGAGGGCACCAUUAACAUGCAUGAGCAAGUAGCCCAAAUUCCCAUUCACCCACCAUGACCGCACCAGUGUUCUUUUUUCAUGUCGCUAUGGCUACACUGGAUGGGGCCAAUUACAAGUGCCAUAUUGCAAAGCCAGGAAGGAAGGGCAAAAAGCCAGAGCCUGGUGUUUGCAUGGGUCAUCUUAGUGAGUGAGUACAAGCCAAAAAUUCAUAGUGACCUCAUUAUAGCCUCACUCAGAGGAGAUCUCAUAAAACAGCAGUGAGGUAAAAAGCUUCAUGGUCAGUGGCAAAUGGCCUGGUUGGCUGGUCUGGAGCCAGGAAAGUAAAAGAUUGAAAGAUUGGAGAAAAAAACAUUGAGAGUAGAGGUAUGUAAAUGGAUAUAUUAAAAUGGGCAGAAAGCAUCCACCAUGGAUGAGGCACUAAACUACCAAACUGAAAAGCACAAUUUGGCCAGUUGGCAUUAACCAGUCUUUGUCAGCAGCCAGUCCAGUUUUGUCACAAUGGACAGGUGAAUCAAGUGACCAUGGAAGCAAAUUUGACAGCUAUACCUGGGAUUAGUAGUUCCAUCUCCCACUUCCCAAGGCCAGUUUAACUAUUGCUACCUAUCAAUGUCUAACCUAUUAGCAACAGAAACAAAUUUGAUGCCCCCAGUAUGGCACUGUUCCUUGAGGGAACCAACUGAUGGUGGCAAGUUUAUUCUAUUGGAUCCCUCAAGAGUAUCUAACCUAUUCCAGGUCUAGGUUUGUCAUUUCCACCUGCAGAAACUCAGCUAACACCUAUAUCUUGGGGUUUAAAGGAUAUUUGAUUCUGAGGUGUGGAAUGCCACACAGUCAUAGCAUCUGAUCAGAGAACCGCUUUGCAGUGAUGGAGGUGUGGGAGGGAGCCCAAAAUUAUAGAACCCACUGGAAGUAUCACACAAUACACCACCCAGAAGCGGCCAGUCUCAGAGGUCAUUAAAAAGGCCUGCUGAGGGCACAGAUGAAUUACCAGCCCAGAGGAAAAACUCUGCAAAAUUGAGCCCUAUCUUUCAGGAUACAAAUAUACACAUUGAAUCAGAGAUGUUUACCUGGCACCAGGUUCAUAAUAGAAAGAAUACAUAAGUUUGAGAACGAAGGCAUGUAUAAGGAGUUGAUGCACCAAUACCCAUUCCCACAAAUUAAUGGAGAGACUUUGUGCUUCUGACAGCUCACUACAGAAAUCGAGGUCCUCAUCCCCGAAAGGGAGCACUCUUGCCAGUGUACACAGCAAGGAUCUAAUCAAACUACAGACUACAGCUACUGCCUGGGCACCUAGGGCUCCUUGCAUGCAGGGACUGGUGGGCAAGAAGAGGGUUCAGCAUCUUCUCAGGAGCAACCAACCAUGAUCAGUAGGAGGAGAAAGGGCUGCUGUGAUACCCUGGGGGCAGGGAAGAAUCCACGUGGAACUCAGGUCACCCACUUGGUGCCUCUUUGUCCUUCCUUGCCCAACUGUGAUUGGGAAUAAGCAAGCAAGAAGGAGAUCAGACCCUUCAGAGAUGAGAUCUGGGCCAUCCCCCAAGCCCAGUUAGGCCAGUGAGAGUAGCAGAGGUCGUUGUUGAGGAUGAGGGCAAAUUGACAUGAAUCACUCAUUGUGCCAGUUGUGGGCUUUAGACCAAUGGCAGCCACAGGGCUUGGAGUUUGUUAUACUAACUUCCCUUUCUUAAGUUCAUCCUUAGGAGGAGAGGAGCUGCUCUCUCAUGUGUAUAGACAGGUAGAUUGCACUGCGCAAACUUCCCUGACACACAAAGUGCUGCAUUUUGCAUGUCGGAGAAAAGGAGAUGAGCCACUAUUCUGUUUCCUCUUCAUGAGAAUUGCUGCCCAGCAGCAAGGAGCGCAGUGAGCUAACAGUGGCCAGUGGUAAGCUUUUGGGGGGUUCACUUUAGCUUUUGAAUUGAAGUUACACUUUUCUUGAGGGGACGCUAAGCCAAUGCCUGAGCCAGAUGGUGGCACGAGAGCAUAAUCGUUUCUACCCCAUGCCAGGCUCUCUUAAAGGGCAGUCAUUGGUCCAGAGUCCUGAAUUUGGCUGGCAGAGACUUUGUCAGGACUGUGUCACAGUCAGAUGACACCCCAGCCCAGCCUCUCACAAAUCUUAUUUCUCAAUAAACCUUUGCACUCCUGAUUCCACCUCAGUAUCUGAUUCUCAGAGAACACAAUCGGCACAAUUUUAUGAAAUCAUAACUAAAAGGACACAAUUCCAUGCCUCUCCAAGGCACUCAGAUGCCAUUAAAAGCCCUGGAAUGUUAAAACGGAAGCGGUCACAGUCAAACUAGCUGACAGUCUCAGAGACCCAAGUCCAUACAGCUGCUAAGAGACAGCAAGGGGAUCAAUAGAUAUUCAAUACAUCAAAACUAUUAAUAUUUAUGAAACAACUGAUAGGCAUGAAUAAAAAUUAGAAAUAGAGGUCAAUCUACUUAAUGAUACCAUGUAGCUCCAGGUAUUCAAACAUAUUUAUUUAAAAACAAACAAACAAACAAACAAACAAACAAAGCCACAGGAAAUCAGCGAAACAACUGAGCACAUAGUCUCAAUAUGAAAGGAUUUUGAACCUUGGAACUAUUUCCUCAAAUGUCCACUUCUAGAGUAGAAGAGAAAAUGUUCUUAUUAAUAGCAAAAUAUGAAAACGGGCUGAUUGUAGAAUUAAAGGGAAAGAUUGAAGACAGACAAUUUACCUCUUGAGUGCCAAAGAGAUCACACAAAUGACCUCAGCUAAACAGACUAAGGCUCUCGCUCGAAACGAUCGGAGCCGCGUGUUACAAGCUGCAAGACAUAACCCAGCAGCCAAAUGCGCUCUCCCUCCCCGCCCUAAUGGAGCCUCAAUGAUCCUAGCUCAAAAAGUACAAAAGGCUUUGGAUUGGUUCCCUGAAACACAGAGGGAUGUAUUUUGCAAGUGCGACCCAGACAGACCGCUGCCUGGGCGGCCUGUGCAGUCCGUGGGGUGCAGCAGCCAGGUCCCCUGUGGCGGGGAUCAGUCCUCCGAUCAUCUUUCUUGCCCUUGAGCCAAUCCAUUUGUAUGUGGCAGUCAGAAAAAGCAUUUGGAAAGUAAACAGGAUCAUGUUAAUGUCUUGCUUAAAACCUUUCAAUGAUUCCAUAAAGAUCACUAUAGGAAAGAGAAUGAUGUGUAAAACUGGGCCUUUCCCCUAAGGAAGUUAGGAUAGAGCUGAAAGUACCUGCUCAGUGAGACAGCUUGGGCACGUCCUAAGCCAGAGGAAUUAGAGUAAGUUAAUACUGAAAAAUAAAGGGGGGCAUGUAUAAUAUGACAUGUACUGUACAUAUAUGACCUCAUUUAAUCUGCACAGUUAACUCAAUAAGGUAGCUAUUGAUAUUAUUCCCAUUUUACAAAUAAGGACAAUGAGAUACAGAUGGUUUGAGUAACUCACCCGCUAGCAUGUAGCUAGUAGUGGCAGAGCCAGGCUUCAAGCCCAAAGAGUGUGACUCUGGCAUCUUACUUCUAACUUACUAUACUCGGUCUAUUGCAAAGGGAUGCCAGGAAUACGGUUCUAUUCUUUAGAAAGAGGACUUUGACCGUGCUAAGUCGGAACAAGCAUUCUCACUUCUGUCUCACGCCCUCUAUUUCUCGUGCGGAGCCCUAUGGCCGAGGGAAGUGCGCAGGUAGAGGGGAAAUCCAUGGUAGCUGCAGCAAGCCAGGGAAGCUCAGCGGGUGCUUUGGAGGGUGCUGGUGUGCAUGCCUCCUCCAACAGAGAGUGAGUCCCAGAGGGGAGAGUCUUUUUUAUGCUUCAUGGUAAGCCCAGCAUUUAUAGUCAUUGCUGUACCUAGCAGCUGCUCAAUAAAUACUUGUUGAAUCAAAAGAAUGAAUGUGCAGAAGCUAGUCGAGGCUGAGGAAGAUGCGAAGUUACCCUCUGUGUGCUAGCUUCUCUUCUCUCCCCUGUACCUCCAUCACAUGCCUCCCAUCCAGGACGCUGGUCUAUUGAAGAGUUGCUCAAUAUAGAAAUGCACUGUGUUGCAGAGGACCUGAUUUUCCUCAUACAUAAGGCCACUUAGGGACACUUAGUGUGGCCUCACGUGCCCUGAGGUUGGCCCUGCCCCAAGCACAGUGAAGCCAGCCUUGCUGAGUUGUUGGGAGCACUGGAAAUAGCAGCCUUGAUUCUUGGGCCUGAGCCAACCCAUUCUCUCCCUAUUGGAUCAAGUUUCCUACUACAGAAUAAAUAGGGCACCUCUAAUACUCCCAAAUGCUACCUUCAAAUCCGUACACUUGAGUGAAUAAUUUGCUUCCUGCUUCCCAAAAAAGUUCCCAGUAGAUGAUGUGACAAAUUUUACUCUCAUUGACCUUGCUAAAAAUGUCCCUGUUAUGACCAGAUUUCCAAUUCAGUUUUCAACCGCCUUGCCCAAGAAGAUAUAUAAACUCAUAGAAGACCAGGACUAGAGCUAUGAAACCCACUGUUCAGCAUUGUAUAUAAGGAGACAUUUAAUAAGUGCUUAAUGGCGAUAAUGAUCUACAUUUUGGCAGGGACCGAUCAGAAUGUCACUGUAGAAAGCGCUGAGCAGUGCUUGACUCCCGGCACACGCCGUGGCUUGGCAGCCAGGGCAGAAAGGAGUGGUGUGCCAGGGAGCCCGAGUCACGAGGCCAAACCGAGAAAAGGGUCCUCUUUGCGUCUGGCCAUUGAUGGCCACAGAAAGUAUGGAUGCGAUAAUUUGAUCUCCUUGGAGCUACAAAAGUCCUUUUAGGUAAAUGUUUUUCUUUUACGUCAACACCACAAAAUAGCCUAUGAUAUAAACUUAUACAUGGAGUAACUGGGAUUCUAGUGUAUGAAGAAUCAGGUUGUUUACUUAAUGAUGGACAAAAAAAAGUAACCAAAACCUCGCGAUUUAAACAUGUCACACAGUGUCAGUUUUUAAAGAAAAUCUAUUUAAUGUCAUCAAUUAGCCAUUUAUUUAGAGAGUAGUCUUUAUUAAUAAAUUGCUUUGUAGCCUAUCCUUUGAAAGCCAUUUAAGAUACAGAAUCUAAGGUCCCUGGACUUAAACUGAUAACCAACACAGAACAAGAAAAAAAUAUACUCUGAAAUUCAUAUAUGUAAGCCACAAAUAGAUAAUAAUGCAAGAGUAAUAUUAUAUUUAUUAUAAAUCAACAUUAAAUUGUGCAU